GUUUUUGUAAUUUAAUUUAAAAUAUUGAUUUUGUAAAUCAAAAAUAAUUGAAUAUUCGUAAACA
RNAcentral lists this transfer RNA (64 nucleotides) under Cerogria popularis. Its description in RNAcentral is "tRNA-Thr". Lineage: Eukaryota; Metazoa; Arthropoda; Insecta; Coleoptera; Tenebrionidae. The record is from RNAcentral.